This 125-nucleotide small RNA is filed under the name Marmota monax (woodchuck). Lineage: Eukaryota; Metazoa; Chordata; Mammalia; Rodentia; Sciuridae. The record is from RNAcentral.
GCCGGGUGUGGUGGUGCAUGCCUGUAAUCCCAGCGGCUCGGGAGGCUGAGGCAGGAGGAUUGCGAGUUCAAAGCCAGCCUUAGCAACAUCGAGGCACAAAGCAACUCAGUGAGACCCUGUCUCUA